GCGAGCGUGGUGGAAUUGGCAGACACGCUAGACUUAGGAUCUAGUGCCGAAAGGCGUGGGGGUUCAAGUCCCUUCGCUCGCA
Molecule: transfer RNA, 82 nt
Filed under: Spirochaetae bacterium HGW-Spirochaetae-1
Lineage: Bacteria; Pseudomonadati; Spirochaetota
Description: tRNA-Leu
Rfam family: tRNA
About the family: Transfer RNA (tRNA) molecules are approximately 80 nucleotides in length.
Source: RNAcentral